UGAGGAAUAUUGGUCAAUGGGCGCAAGCCUGAACCAGCCAUCCCGCGUGAAGGAAGAAUGCGCUAUGCGUUGUAAACUUCUUUUCCAGGGGAAUAAAAUUUCGUACGUGUACGGGACUGAAGGUACCUUGGGAAUAAGCAUCGGCUAACUCCGUGCCAGCAGCCGCGGUAAUACGGAGGAUGCGUGCGUUAUCCGGAUUUAUUGGGUUUAAAGGGUGCGUAGGCGGAAAAAUAAGGCAGUGGUGAAAGCCUGCAGCUUAACUGGAGACAUGCCAUUGAUACUGUGAGUCUUGAGUAUAGUUAAGGUAGGCGGAAUGUGUAAUGUAGCGGUGAAAUGCUUAGAUAUUACACAGAACACCAAUUGCGAAGGCAGCUUACUGAGCUAUAACUGACGCUGAUGCACGAAAGCGUGGGGAGCGAACA
This 422-nucleotide ribosomal RNA is filed under the name uncultured prokaryote. Its description in RNAcentral is "bacterial SSU rRNA". It matches the Rfam family "Bacterial small subunit ribosomal RNA", at positions 355 to 774 of the family's 1533-position model. The record is from RNAcentral.